RNAcentral lists this ribosomal RNA (350 nucleotides) under uncultured Anoxybacillus sp. RNAcentral describes it as "bacterial SSU rRNA". It matches the Rfam family "Bacterial small subunit ribosomal RNA", at positions 1031 to 1382 of the family's 1533-position model. Lineage: Bacteria; Bacillati; Bacillota; Bacilli; Caryophanales; Anoxybacillaceae. The record is from RNAcentral.
GGACGAGGUGGUGCAUGGUUGUCGUCAGCUCGUGUCGUGAGAUGUUGGGUUAAGUCCCGCAACGAGCGCAACCCUCGACCUUAGUUGCCAGCAUUCAGUUGGGCACUCUAAGGUGACUGCCGGCUAAAAGUCGGAGGAAGGUGGGGAUGACGUCAAAUCAUCAUGCCCCUUAUGACCUGGGCUACACACGUGCUACAAUGGGCGGUACAAAGGGUCGCGAACCCGCGAGGGGGAGCCAAUCCCAAAAAGCCGCUCUCAGUUCGGAUUGCAGGCUGCAACUCGCCUGCAUGAAGCCGGAAUCGCUAGUAAUCGCGGAUCAGCAUGCCGCGGUGAAUACGUUCCCGGGCCUU